This 287-nucleotide ribosomal RNA is filed under the name uncultured bacterium. RNAcentral describes it as "partial 16S ribosomal RNA". It matches the Rfam family "Bacterial small subunit ribosomal RNA", at positions 335 to 640 of the family's 1533-position model. The record is from RNAcentral.
UACUUACGGGGGGCAGCAGUGGGGGAUAUUGCACAAUGGGGGAAACCCUGAUGCAGCGACGCCGCGUGGGUGAAGAAGCGCCUCGGCGCGUAAAGCCCUAUCGGCAGGGAAGAAGAUGACGGUACCUGACCAAGAAGCCCCGGCUAACUACGUGCCAGCAGCCGCGGUAAUACGUAGGGGGCAAGCGUUAUCCGGAUUUACUGGGUGUAAAGGGGGCGCAGACGGCAAUGCAAGCCAGGAGUGAAAGCCCGGGGCCCAACCCCGGGACUGCUCUUGGAACUGUAUGG